CGGGUCUCUUCAGUCUCUUGGUGAUAUUAGGGAACUUGUCCAAGAACUUUGGCUCAACUACAAGCCAGAAAUCUGGUUCCAUGUUGCGCUCUUCAUAGAGGCGACGACGUUCAAACAUUUGCUCCUGGAAAUGCUCCUCUUCGUCCAGCAUAAAUUUGGCAUUUGCAACAAGAAAAUGGUACUUCUUACUUUCCGUCUCUUGCUGUAUAUGCAACAGAAUACCCGCAUCAACAUUCCUAACAUUGAACUAAAGCAAAAUGGCGCCAAAUAGGGAGUUACCGAAAAUUUGUCUUUUUCCUUUCCAAUGAAAGGACCUGUCACAGAUGACCAACAUAUACAUUCAUAGGCGAGUGAGAGUAGGACUAAUAAAAGAACAUGAACUACAUACCCUGAUCCUCUAAGAGAUGGUAGUUGGAACUUCAGACUAUUCCUCAAAACCGUCACUUUGACCUCCUCAAGGAACUAAUUUUCAUAUUGCUAAAUGAAAAAUGAACUAAGUUUUGAUCAGAGAAGAACUAGUGCAAUCACUCAAUCAACACAAUCAGCCACAGGUUAAACCCAAAUCAGUCAGGAUUUGCUAUAUGAAUCCUAUAUAACAUUCUGCUCUAAGUUUUAUUGCAUACAAUACUACCUAAUUUGCUUAUAAAGGCAAAUUUACAGGCUUUGCCAAUCUCUCACUUAUCCCAACACCACAUAGGUAGAAGUAAAAUUUGUGUACACUCACUCUCCCACGACUCCACUUGAGGGAUCUCACCGAGUAUGUUAUUGUUGAACUUAGAGAGCUCAACUAAGUAACACUCUUUUAUAAAAAAAAGUCUUGAGAGUUUCCUUGUCUUAUGAACUUUUCUGGGCUCUGAACCAUAUUUCGACUUUGUGAUAAAUCCAUAGAUAACGAUAGAAAAUAAACAGGCACUCGAAAACAGGUACAUGUUCGAGAAUCAUUAAACAACACUUAGUGGUUAGAGAUAAAAACCAACAACAAUAACACACUUCAGAUUUUUCAUAAUGCUUUUUCAUGCUAAGUACAAUGCUCAAUAUUCUUCAUUUUGUUUUCUGAAUCUCGCAACAGGGGUUUAUAAGCUACAGAAAUUAGGCGUUUCGUCGUACAAUUCUUCAGAUGAGCUACAAACAUCUUCACCUACAGCCUACAAUGGCGAUUGCCCGACCAUCUCUUCAUAUAACUUCUCAAACUAAAUGCUCAUUCAUUGGCGAUUGCCCGACCAACAAACAAUAAUGUAGAUUUUGAACUACUUCAAGCAACACAGAUGAUGGCAUGGCAGAAAUACGUAAGACGCCUGCUAAUCAUACCUUUGAAGUCUGAGAUCCAGGGGGCAAGAAUGAGUCCCACCACCCGGAUUCAUACUUCGGGUAUGGUGCUGUCCAUUUUUCCGGUUUUUCAAAUUCAAUACUAACAGGAGUACAUGCCAAAGCUUCUUCUACACUGUCAGCCUCGUAGCUCUCUUGUAAAACCCUGUCUAGCCUCAAUUUCAUGAACCUGCAAGUUUCAAAAAGUAGAUCAGGAGAAAUAUAGAAAAUGUGCAACUUCACCCUUUUGUGAUACGAAAUAUCUUAAAUUUACCAUCCGUUAUACUUUGGGGUCAUUCAUACCCUUGCCUCUAGCAAAUCUUCUCGUAAUUGCCCUUGUCUUUGCGGUGGACGGGGUGAUUCCACAUAUCAAAAAUACAUUGGGGAGAAGACCCAAUUUUACCCCUCUAGUUUUUUAUGGUUUAAAUUUACUCACCGUUAUACUUCAGGUUGGAGUUUCAUCAGGGCCAAGGGCAAGGGCAAGUACGAGAUGAUUUGAUGACGUUGAAGAUACAAAUGACUCUAAACUAUACCAAAUGGUAAAAUUAAGAUAACUCGUAUAGUAUAGGGGUAUAUUUGACCAUUUUCCCGUGAUUAUAACUUGCUUAUUAAAGACUGCAAUCUUUUGAUGAUGCAUAGGAGUAAUUAGUGUCUCGAUUAUUUAACAAUGACAGCCCCUUACGUGAUCCAUGGGCCAUUCGUUGAAACAAGUGCUACAGCGGGUCUCUUCAGUCUCUUGGUGAUAUUAGGGAACUUGUCCAAGAACUUUGGCUCAACUACAAGCCAGAAAUCUGGUUCCAUGCUGCGCUCUUCAUAGAGGCGACGGCGUUCAAACAUUUGCUCCUGGAAAUGCUCCUCUUCGUCCAGCAUAAAUUUGGCAUUUGCAACAAGAAAAUGGUACUUCUUCCUUUCUGUCUCUUGCUG
This 2229-nucleotide long non-coding RNA is filed under the name Solanum tuberosum (potato). RNAcentral's name for it is "long non-coding RNA (STUB_LNC006074)". Lineage: Eukaryota; Viridiplantae; Streptophyta; Magnoliopsida; Solanales; Solanaceae. The record is from RNAcentral.